This 69-nucleotide transfer RNA is filed under the name Bos taurus (domestic cattle). It matches the Rfam family "tRNA". Rfam says of the family: Transfer RNA (tRNA) molecules are approximately 80 nucleotides in length. Their secondary structure includes four short double-helical elements and three loops (D, anti-codon, and T loops). RNAcentral also lists the same sequence under 1 other name. The record is from Rfam by way of RNAcentral. Lineage: Eukaryota; Metazoa; Chordata; Mammalia; Artiodactyla; Bovidae.
CCUGGUGGCUCAGUUGGUAAAGCAUCUGCCUGCAGUGCAGGAGACCCAGGUUUGAUCCCUGGGUCAGGA